UACAGAGGGUGCGAGCGUUGUCCGGAAUCACUGGGCGUAAAGGGCGCGUAGGUGGCCCGACAAGUCCGUGGUGAAAGCUCGACGCUCAACGUCGAGUCGGCCAUGGAUACUGUGGGGCUGGAGCACUGUAGAGGCUCAUGGAAUUCCGGGUGUAGCGGUGGAAUGCGUAGAGAUCCGGAAGAACACCGGUGGCGAAGGCGGUGAGCUGGGCAGUAGCUGACACUGAGGCGCGACAGCGUGGGGAGCAAACAGG
This 253-nucleotide ribosomal RNA is filed under the name uncultured bacterium. RNAcentral describes it as "partial 16S ribosomal RNA". It matches the Rfam family "Bacterial small subunit ribosomal RNA", at positions 524 to 776 of the family's 1533-position model. The record is from RNAcentral.